GUGACGGCGUACCUUUUGUAUAAUGGGUCAUCGACUUGGUCUAUCUAGCAAGCUUAAGCCGAUAGGUGUAGGCGCAGCGAAAGCGAGUCUUAAUAGGGCGUCGAGUUAGAUGGAUCAGACCCGAAACCGAGUGAUCUAGGCAUGACCAGGAUGAAGGUAAGGUAACACUUACUGGAGGUCCGAACCCACACCUGUUGAAAAAGGUCGGGAUGAGUUGUGCCUAGGGGUGAAAGGCCAAUCAAACUCGGAGAUAGCUGGUUCUCCGCGAAAUCUAUUUAGGUAGAGCGUCAUCCGAAUACCCCGGGGGGUAGAGCACUGGAUGGGUAAUGGGGCCCCACAGGCUUACUGAUCCUAACCAAACUCCGAAUACCCGGGAGUACUAGAUGGCAGACACACUGCGGAUGCUAACGUCCGUAGUGGAGAGGGAAACAACCCUGACCUACAGCUAAGGCCCCCAAUUCAUGGCUAAGUGGGAAAGCAGGUGGGACGACCAAAACAACCAGGAGGUUGGCUUAGAAGCAGCCAUCCUUUAAAGAUAGCGUAACAGCUCACUGGUCUAAACAAGUUGUCCUGCGGCGAAGAUGUAACGGGGCUCAAGCCAUGAGCCGAAGCUUAGGAUGCCGUAAGGCAUGGUAGCGGAGCGUAGUGUGAUAUAGGAUAGCCGAUAGGCGGUAGCGCAGGAGAAAGUCUUUUCUGUGAAGCCGGCCUGUGAGGGAUCCGGUGGAGAGAUCACUAGCGAGAAUGAUGACAUGAGUAGCGACAAAGAGUGUGAGAGACACUCUCGCCGAAAGUCCAAGGGUUCCUGCUUAAAGCUAAUCUGAGCAGGGUAAGCCGACCCCUAAGGCGAGGCCGAAAGGCGUAGUCGAUGGGAACCAGGUUAAUAUUCCUGGGCCAGGAGGAUGUGACGGAUUGUGGCGGCGUGCGUGCCUUAUCGGAUUGGCGCGUAUCCAAGACAGUCCCAGGAAAUAGCCCUCCAUGAGAUCGUACCCUAAACCGACACAGGUGGACUGGUAGAGAAUACCAAGGCGCUUGAGAGAACGAUGUUGAAGGAACUCGGCAAAAUACCUCCGUAAGUUCGCGAGAAGGAGGCCCGGUACACGACUACCGGGGGCACAAACCAGGGGGUGGCGACUGUUUAUUAAAAACACAGGGCUCUGCGAAGUCGCAAGACGACGUAUAGGGUCUGACGCCUGCCCGGUGCCUGAAGGUUAAAAGGAGGGGUGCAAGCUCCGAAUUGAAGCCCAGGUAAACGGCGGCCGUAACUAUAACGGUCCUAAGGUAGCGAAAUUCCUUGUCGGGUAAGUUCCGACCUGCACGAAUGGCGUAACGACUUCCCCGCUGUCUCCAACAUCGACUCAGCGAAAUUGAAUUGCCUGUCAAGAUGCAGGCUUCCCGCGGUUAGACGGAAAGACCCCGUGCACCUUCACUACAGCUUCGCACUGGCAUCAGGCACAACAUGUGCAGGAUAGGUGGUAGGCUUUGAAGCAGGGACGCCAGUCCCUGUGGAGCCUCCCUUGAGAUACCACCCUUGUUCUGCUUGAUGUCUAACCGCGGCCCGUUAUCCGGGUCCGGGACCCUGCGUGGUGGGUAGUUUGACUGGGGCGGUCGCCUCCUAAAGCGUAACGGAGGCGCGCGAAGGUUGGCUCAGAGCGGUCGGAAAUCGCUCGUUGAGUGCAAUGGCAGAAGCCAGCCUGACUGCAAGACUGACAAGUCGAGCAGAGUCGAAAGACGGCCAUAGUGAUCCGGUGGUCCCAAGUGGGAGGGCCAUCGCUCAACGGAUAAAAGGUACGCCGGGGAUAACAGGCUGAUACUGCCCAAGAGUCCAUAUCGACGGCAGUGUUUGGCACCUCGAUGUCGGCUCAUCUCAUCCUGGGGCUGGAGCAGGUCCCAAGGGUAUGGCUGUUCGCCAUUUAAAGAGGUACGUGAGCUGGGUUUAGAACGUCGUGAGACAGUUCGGUCCCUAUCUGCCGUGGGUGUAGGAUACUUGAGAGGAGUUGCCCCUAGUACGAGAGGACCGGGGUGAACGAUCCACUGGUGGACCUGUUGUUGCGCCAGCAGCAGUGCAGGGUAGCUAUGAUCGGACAGGAUAACCGCUGAAGGCAUCUAAGCGGGAAGCCCCCCUCAAAACAAGGUAUCCCUGAGGACCGUGGAAGACCACCACGUCGAUAGGCCGGAGAUGUAAGCACAGCAAUGUGUUCAGUUGACCGGUACUAAUGGUCCGAUAGGCUUGAUUUG
RNAcentral lists this ribosomal RNA (2235 nucleotides) under Antarctobacter albus. Its description in RNAcentral is "bacterial LSU rRNA". It matches the Rfam family "Bacterial large subunit ribosomal RNA", at positions 593 to 2925 of the family's 2925-position model. The record is from RNAcentral. Lineage: Bacteria; Pseudomonadati; Pseudomonadota; Alphaproteobacteria; Rhodobacterales; Roseobacteraceae.